UAGUCUACGUUAAUUGUUUUAUUACUAAGUCAUCUAUCCACAUGUGUGCAUGCUUGAAGGUGACAUUUAUUAUGCCACCUCCAGCUGUGGGAAAUCUAUCUCAGAUAGGUGUAAAUUGGAGAGUUUCUUGCAGAUAUUGAUGCUGGAAAGGACUGUAAUAUUGGGUUAAGCUUAAGAAAUGGGGUACUAAUGUUGUUUUGGAGGUUUGUAUGCUAUCUUAUAUCAGGGCAUUUUCUUUACAGUAUAUUCACUGUAGGGAUUCAUUCCUGGCUGUAUUUAUGUUCAUCUAUAUUAUUAAUCCCCAUAGACGUGUCUCUGUGGGGAUGCGUCCCGGCAACCCAGUGGAUUGGCUGGGAAGCCGAGGCGCUGGAUUGGCUGGGAAGCCGAGGCGCCGGAUUGGCUAGGCGGUGGAGCUCACGCGUGGCAGGAUUCAUGAAACUGUUGAGCUGCUGCCCAGGGAAAUGGCGGACAGGCUGAUGAAGCUUUGUGGGCGAAAUGGCACAUAUCCGGAAGAGCCGUUCGACUUUGAUUCAUGAACGACAUUGAUUCAUGAAGUUUGUUUUUCUCCACAAGGACAUGUAGUAGGCUUUAUCUCUGAUCCAGGUCAGCUUAUUUAUGGAAGCAUGCUCGACGGGUUCUUUGCUAUCAGCAUGUUUGUGACUUUACACCUUCACUUCUGUACGGAUGGUAUUGAGCAUUUCGCCAUUGAGGACGUCCACACCUUUUUGAGACCACGUCUGACGCAGUGCUUUUGUCAUCUGCCACUUCCAUACUUGACUUUGCCUAUUUCAUCCUGCAGCCCAAUUUUUGCCUGGCUCAGUUACACCUCCUUCCUUAACUUUUGACUGUUUUUGCACAUGCUAUUAUCUAUGUAUUCUGUAUUGUGAGAAGGCAUUACUGUUAUUGCACAUGCUAUUACUUAUGUAUUUUGCAUUGUGGUUGGUUUGAGUAUUACUGCAUACAUCAUUAUUAUUUUUCUUGGGGAAUUAUUUAGUUUAGAUUCAUGAUUUUUGUUUAGUAAUGUCAUGGAUUAUUUAUUACUGGCUUAUUAUUUCUGAAUAUACAUUUCCAGUGUUUAUUUAUAUUCUCAGUGUUUGGGUAUCAUUAUCUGUUUUGUAGUCACGGUGGGAUUUCCCUUUCUCCUUUUUAUUGUUUGUUUCAUUCUGUGAUUGCCCUUUUCCAUUGUUUUGGUCCCUGAUAGCCUGAAGCGACUUCAAAAUAAAGGUAGCUGAUAUAUACA
Molecule: long non-coding RNA, 1240 nt
Organism: Hemicordylus capensis (graceful crag lizard)
Lineage: Eukaryota; Metazoa; Chordata; Lepidosauria; Squamata; Cordylidae
Exons: 2
Source: RefSeq, a predicted model, not a curated record